This 253-nucleotide ribosomal RNA is filed under the name uncultured bacterium. Its description in RNAcentral is "partial 16S ribosomal RNA". It matches the Rfam family "Bacterial small subunit ribosomal RNA", at positions 524 to 776 of the family's 1533-position model. The record is from RNAcentral.
UACAUGGGGUGCAAACGUUGCUCGGAAUUAUUGGACGUAAAGCGCACAUAGGCAGUUACUUAAGUCGGAUGUGAAAGCCCUCGGCUUAACUGGGGAAGUGCACCCGAAACUGAGUAGCUAGAGUACGAAAGAGGGUCGCGGAAUUCCCGGUGUAGAGGUGAAAUUCGUAGAUAUCGGGAGGAACACCGGUGGCGAAGGCGGCGACCUGGGUCGAGACUGACGCUGAGGCGCGAAAACAUAGGGAACAAACAGG